Long non-coding RNA from Leopardus geoffroyi (Geoffroy's cat), 1716 nucleotides. RefSeq lists it as uncharacterized. The record is from RefSeq and is a predicted model, not a curated record. NCBI's taxonomy places the organism in Eukaryota, Metazoa, Chordata, Mammalia, Carnivora, Felidae. The transcript has 2 exons.
UCCAUCCAGCAAGGAGACAAACCGCUCCCUCCUCUCCCCGGCCCACUGUGGACGCGGGGCCAGAUGAUGAAGUCAGAUCGCAAAGCACAUCUAACUGCUUCUAAUGCUCAGUUUUAUGGGUCAACUUGGCUAGGCCGUGGUCUUUUGGCCACACGUUAUUCUGGAGGUUUCUGAAGGUACUUUUUUUUCUCGAUGAGACUGACAUGUAGAUCAGUAGGCCUGGGUUAAAGCAGAUUACUCUCCAUAAUGUGGGUGGGCCUCAUCCCAUCAGUUGGAAGGUUCGAAGAGAAAAAAAAAGACUGAGGUCCCCCCGGGGGAAAGAGAAUUCGGACAGCAGACUGCCUUUGGAUCCUCGCUGCAACAUGAGUUCCUCACUGGGUCUCCGAGCUGCAGAGACAGAUAAAGAGAGAACGUCUCACACCUGCAGCUGAUGACAAGACAAAUCCGAGGUUUCCAGUCUUCACGGCCCUCAGAGGACCUGCCCUGAAGCUUCUCUGGAAGGCAGGUCAAAGCUUCCAACCCUCCCCCGCCUCCCCACUGCUCUCUGCUUUUACCAGCCUCCCCUCUGGCUCAUCUCCCUCCUGCAGGGAAGCGUGCCUCUUAAUCCACCGAGGAAAUCAAGGCCAUCAAGGCCAUCGGCAGGAAUUUCCAAAAGUGGUCACGGGCCUGUAGCAUCAGCGUCGGUCAGCAUCCCCUGGCAACCGGGCAGACCCUGGGCCCCCAUCCCGAUCAAGCUCCGCAUCGUGGCUCCUCUGCAGGUGCGGAUGAGAGAAGCCACGCACAUGUAAGGACCCUCUGUCCCUCCUCCCCCGGAGGAAGCAGAGUCAGGAAGCCAGACGCUCAGGUCUCUCCCAUUUAAAUACAAUGCGGGUCUCUCCCACAGCUUUCCUUGAUGUCUUUCUUCUCCUUGUCUCCUUCCGUCUCCCAUCGGUUCCUCACUCCACUCUCAUCCUCUGGCCUCGAGUUACCCUCUUGCACUAAAACCGCUCUUGUUAGUUUCCAAUGACAUCUGUGUGGCCGGAAUCAGCAGAUACCUCCCGACCAUCAUUGCUGCAGGAUUUAACGUUGUUGCCUCUCACCUCAUAUAAAUGUGACUCACUCUUGGGUGCCGGCACACCCAGGGUUCCCGGAGUCACACCUCCGCUCUCUCUCCCACCUGAUCGGCCCCGGCCCCCUGUUCUUUUUCCCGGGUUGCCCUUUCUGUUCCCGCUCCAAAUCCCCAAAUUCCUCAAGGCUCCUUCUCUGCCCUUGGCUGACUCUAACUAGGCGACCUCGUCCUAAUCUAUGGCUCCAACUGUCACGCCCUGCAAUUUCCAAACCCGCAUCACUAGCCUGGACCUCGGCUCAAGCAACAGCUUCCCACUGGACGUGGCCACCUGGACGCCUCGCAAGCCCAAGGUCAGCACGCCUAAACCCAACACCCGCUCUGUCUGUGCCUUCCUGUCUCCAUCGCAGGGGACCGCCCUCUCUUCUCAGGAGGCACGUUAGAAUCACGACCCAUUCACCUCGUCUGGCCGGUCACCGAAUCCUGAAGCUUCUGCCAUCUUGAGGUUCUCUUUGUGACACUCGCCCCUCUCCCCCCCGCCAUUUGCACUGCCCUGGCUCCACGUCUCAACGCUUCCCUCCUGGAUGUCACCAAAAGCCACUUACUGGAGCCCUGCCUCCAGCCGGCCCCCUCUACAGCUCAGCCUCACUCUAUCCACCACACUGCUGCCA